This 253-nucleotide ribosomal RNA is filed under the name uncultured bacterium. RNAcentral describes it as "partial 16S ribosomal RNA". It matches the Rfam family "Bacterial small subunit ribosomal RNA", at positions 524 to 776 of the family's 1533-position model. The record is from RNAcentral.
GACGAACCGUCCAAACGUUAUUCGGAAUCACUGGGCUUAAAGGGUGCGUAGGCGGCCCGGAAAGUUGGGUGUGAAAUCCCUCGGCUCAACCGAGGAACUGCAUUCAAAACUACCGGGCUUGAGGGAGAUAGAGGUGAGCGGAACUCAGGGUGGAGCGGUGGAAUGCGUUGAUAUCCUGGGGAACACCAGUUGCGAAGGCGGCUCACUGGGUCUCUUCUGACGCUGAGGCACGAAAGCUAGGGGAGCGAAGAGG